This 218-nucleotide long non-coding RNA is filed under the name Ananas comosus (pineapple). RNAcentral describes it as "long non-coding RNA (ACOM_LNC039934)". Lineage: Eukaryota; Viridiplantae; Streptophyta; Magnoliopsida; Poales; Bromeliaceae. The record is from RNAcentral.
UACUUGCUAUUACAAGCAUUCAUCUCACAUAUUACAUUUUUGCAUUCUUAGAUUACAUCACAUUUGAUUACUUGAUUCUUACUUCCAAAUACAAUCUAGUUUUAACAUAGUUAUUACAACAUUGUUCUUACAAUUAUCAUACUCUUGGUUCUUUGCAUUUUAUACCCCUAAGAAGUCGACUCAGGGUGCUGCUAUCUGGUCUCUGUGGUAGGGCGCUA